This is a long non-coding RNA of Coregonus clupeaformis (lake whitefish), 132 nucleotides long. RefSeq lists it as uncharacterized. The record is from RefSeq and is a predicted model, not a curated record. Lineage: Eukaryota; Metazoa; Chordata; Actinopteri; Salmoniformes; Salmonidae. The transcript is spliced from 3 exons.
AAAAGAAGGUCAAAGCCAAUAAGAAGAGAGAAAAAGCAACCCCACCAGCGGCAGAUUGUCUUUUCUCAAGUGAAGCCACACACAGCCCCAGGUCCUUGAGGGAGAUGGAGGGACACACCAUCAGAGGAGGAG